AUUGAACGCUGGCGGAAUGCUUUACACAUGCAAGUCGAACGGCAGCACGGGGGCAGCCCUGGUGGCGAGUGGCGAACGGGUGAGUAAUACAUCGGAACGUGCCCGGUCGUGGGGGAUAACGUAGCGAAAGUUACGCUAAUACCGCAUACGAUCUGAGGAUGAAAGCGGGGGACCUUCGGGCCUCGCGCGAUCGGAGCGGCCGAUGUCAGAUUAGGUAGUUGGUGGGGUAAAGGCCUACCAAGCCGACGAUCUGUAGCUGGUCUGAUGGGACGACCGGCCACACGGGGACUGAGCCACGGCCCAGACUCCUACGGGAGGCAGCAGUGGGGAAUUUUGGACAAUGGGCGCAAGCCUGAUCCAGCCAUUCCGCGUGCAGGACGAAGGCCUUCGGGUUGUAAACUGCUUUUGUACGGAACGAAAAGGCUCUGGCUAAUACCUGGGGCUCAUGACGGUACCGGAAGAAUAAGCACCGGCUAACUACGUG
This 484-nucleotide ribosomal RNA is filed under the name uncultured bacterium. RNAcentral's name for it is "partial 16S ribosomal RNA". It matches the Rfam family "Bacterial small subunit ribosomal RNA", at positions 29 to 507 of the family's 1533-position model. The record is from RNAcentral.